Molecule: long non-coding RNA, 555 nt
Organism: Sapajus apella (tufted capuchin)
Lineage: Eukaryota; Metazoa; Chordata; Mammalia; Primates; Cebidae
Exons: 2
Source: RefSeq, a predicted model, not a curated record
UGUAUGUGUGUGUGUGAAUGUGAAUGUGUGUAGGCAUGAGGGGCUUAGAGGACUUCAGAGGCAGAUAUAAUGACAGUGAGAGUCAUGGUGGAGCCAAAACAAAACAAAAACACACAAACACAAACCUAAAAUACAUGACUAAGCUCUGUGCACCAGCAGAGGAAGUAGCAGCUGGAUACUCACAAGAUCACAGAGGAACCUUAGCGUCCAACCCAUCUCCCAAGACACAAAGUGUAUGUCUAGUGUAUCUGACAUGGUCAUUUGGCUCAGACUUCUAGGGACAGGAACACAAGGACCACACGUGGCAGCUUGUUUCAGAGUUUUCCUUUAUACAGAACGGGGAAUUCCUUUAUGGCACUCUGACUCUGGUUCUGUUGUGACACUUUGGCCUGGAGUGUGGAGGCAUGGAAGCCUGACUCAUGUCCGCCUUAAGCCUUCUCUUCAUUCUCAUGUGACCCAGGCUCCAGCUUUUGAUAUCCCGGCCACCCACCUCUGGAUGUGUUCCUUAUCCAGAAUUUGAUGCAUUGGAGAUGUCAUCUAUUAAUUUUUCAAAAU